Molecule: ribosomal RNA, 431 nt
Filed under: uncultured soil bacterium
Lineage: Bacteria
Description: bacterial SSU rRNA
Rfam family: Bacterial small subunit ribosomal RNA
Source: RNAcentral
AGAUUGAACGCUGGCGGCAGGCCUAACACAUGCAAGUCGAGCGGCAGCACGGGUACUUGUACCUGGUGGCGAGCGGCGGACGGGUGAGUAAUGCCUAGGAAUCUGCCUGAUAGUGGGGGAUAACGUUCGGAAACGGACGCUAAUACCGCAUACGUCCUACGGGAGAAAGUGGGGGAUCUUCGGACCUCACGCUAUCAGAUGAGCCUAGGUCGGAUUAGCUAGUUGGUAGGGUAAAGGCCUACCAAGGCUACGAUCCGUAACUGGUCUGAGAGGAUGAUCAGUCACACUGGAACUGAGACACGUCCAGACUCCUACGGGAGCAGCAGGUGGGAAUAUUAGGACAAGUGGGACGAAAGGCCUGACUCCAGCCAUCGCCGCGUGUGUGAAGAGGUCGUUCGAUUAGUAAAGCUAACGUUUAAGGUUAGGGAAGG